AUAUUUUUAGGGCAGUCAAGUUUUAAAAGAGGGAAGUUGUUUUUUUUUUUUCUUUACAAACCCAUUUUGAGCAGUUGGAUCAGUUAUUAUAUCUAGAUGUAAUGGAAUCUACUACCAAAUUCCUGGAUUUUUUUUUAUUAGACUACAAUGAAAAGUUUUGCAGUGAGAGGAAAUAAAAUGAUAAAUUCUUCUUUUUACAUGAUAAGUAGUCCUCUCUGAGUAUUCCCAUGGCUUGGUGGUACAGUAGAAAAAGUGCUAGCAUGAAGUCAGGAAGACCUGAGUUCAAAUCCGGCUUCAGACACUUACUAGCUGUGUAACUCUGGCUCUGCCAAUCAGAGAAGCUCUCAUUCAGGAACAGGUACUGUGCUUUGCUAGCCCUUGUGGGAGAUAUACAAGCAAAAAGGAGGCAGAGUGGCACGAGAGAAAGAAUAAAUGGUUCUAGAGCCAGAGAAUCUGAGUUUAGAUUCCACUCCUGAUGCUUACACCAUCUAUGACAUCGGUUAAGUCAUCUAAUCUCAUUGGGCCACCCUUUCCUCACCUAUAAAAUUAAAUAU
This is a long non-coding RNA of Trichosurus vulpecula (common brushtail), 554 nucleotides long. RefSeq lists it as uncharacterized. The record is from RefSeq and is a predicted model, not a curated record. The transcript has 3 exons. Lineage: Eukaryota; Metazoa; Chordata; Mammalia; Diprotodontia; Phalangeridae.